GGGUUGUGAGGUUAAGCGACUAAGCGUACACGGUGGAUGCCCUGGCAGUCAGAGGCGAUGAAGGGCGUGCUAAUCUGCGAUAAGCGCCGGUAAGGUGAUAUGAACCGUUAUAACCGGCGAUACCCGAAUGGGGAAACCCAGUGUGAUUCGUCACACUAUCAUUAACUGAAUCCAUAGGUUAAUGAGGCGAACCGGGGGAACUGAAACAUCUAAGUACCCCGAGGAAAAGAAAUCAACCGAGAUUCCCCCAGUAGCGGCGAGCGAACGGGGAGGAGCCCAGAGCCUGAAUCAGCAUGUGUGUUAGUGGAAGCGUCUGGAAAGGCGCGCGAUACAGGGUGACAGCCCCGUACACAAAAGCGCAUGUGCUGUGAGCUCGAUGAGUAGGGCGGGACACGUGGUAUCCUGUCUGAAUAUGGGGGGACCAUCCUCCAAGGCUAAAUACUCCUGACUGACCGAUAGUGAACCAGUACCGUGAGGGAAAGGCGAAAAGAACCCCGGCGAGGGGAGUGAAAAAGAACCUGAAACCGUGUACGUACAAGCAGUGGGAGCACAGGUUUACCUGUGUGACUGCGUACCUUUUGUAUAAUGGGUCAGCGACUUAUAUUCUGUAGCAAGGUUAACCGAAUAGGGGAGCCGGAGGGAAACCG
RNAcentral lists this ribosomal RNA (647 nucleotides) under Salmonella enterica subsp. enterica serovar Dublin. Its description in RNAcentral is "bacterial LSU rRNA". It matches the Rfam family "Bacterial large subunit ribosomal RNA", at positions 1 to 679 of the family's 2925-position model. The record is from RNAcentral. Lineage: Bacteria; Pseudomonadati; Pseudomonadota; Gammaproteobacteria; Enterobacterales; Enterobacteriaceae.